AACGUAGGAGACAAACGUUAUCCGGAGUUACUGGGCGUAAAGGGCGUGUAGGUGGUUUCGUAAGUCUGGCGUGAAAUUUUUCGGCUUAACCGGGAAAGGUCGUCGGAUACUGCGGAGCUAGAGGACGGUAGAGGCGUGUGGAAUUCCGGGUGUAGUGGUGAAAUGCGUAGAGAUCCGGAGGACACCAGUGGCGAAGGCGACACGCUGG
This 208-nucleotide ribosomal RNA is filed under the name uncultured bacterium. Its description in RNAcentral is "partial 16S ribosomal RNA". It matches the Rfam family "Bacterial small subunit ribosomal RNA", at positions 524 to 732 of the family's 1533-position model. The record is from RNAcentral.